Molecule: non-coding RNA, 245 nt
Organism: Pelobates cultripes (western spadefoot toad)
Lineage: Eukaryota; Metazoa; Chordata; Amphibia; Anura; Pelobatidae
Source: the annotation of a GenBank genome assembly
GUGUGUGUGUGUGUCUGUAUGCAUGUAUGUCUGUAUGUAUGUAUGUGUCUUUAUGUCCUCAUGCAUGUGUGUCUGUAUGUAUGUUAGUAUAUGUCUGUCUGUCACUAUGUAUGCCUGUGUGUAUGCCUGUAUGCGUGUAUGUCUGUUUCAGUAUGUGUGUCUGUUAGUAUGUAUCUGUGUCCUUUUGUAUUCCUGUGGGCGGUAUUUGGAGGCGGACCCAGUGGGUGGUAUUUGCAGACCCUGAG